RNAcentral lists this long non-coding RNA (323 nucleotides) under Lathyrus oleraceus (garden pea). RNAcentral describes it as "Pisum sativum (pea) long non-coding RNA (PSAT_LNC006646)". Lineage: Eukaryota; Viridiplantae; Streptophyta; Magnoliopsida; Fabales; Fabaceae. The record is from RNAcentral.
UUGGCUGUUGGGUUUUAGAGUUAAUGGAUUGGGGAAUAACAAAUACAUUAAUACACUAUUAAAUAAAAGAAAUGGGAAGACUUGACGUGUAAUCUUUUAUAGUUUUAAAUGUGGUUUUGUUGAAAAAGUAAAAAGAAAAUGCAUAAAAGAAAGAAAAAAACGAGGGGUACUGUAACAUAACCCAGAAGAGUUCAUUGAGUUCAAACUCCCUCUUACGCCUCUCAACUGCGUUUCUCUCGAAAUCGCUUCUCCAUAUCUCACUCUCUCUCGUUAAAACCCUCUCACUCAAAAGCUCACACUAGCCUAUUCAUUCCCCUCUCCGU